Molecule: ribosomal RNA, 351 nt
Filed under: uncultured bacterium
Lineage: Bacteria
Description: bacterial SSU rRNA
Rfam family: Bacterial small subunit ribosomal RNA
Source: RNAcentral
AUCAACGCUGGCGGCGUGCCUCAGACAUGCAAGUCGAACGAUUAAAGCUCUCUUCGGAGAGUGCAUAAAGUGGCGCACGGGUGAGUAACACGUAAGUAAUCUACCUUCGAGUGGGGAAUAACGUCCGGAAACGGACGCUAAUACCGCAUAACGCAGCGGCAUCGCAAGAUGACAGUUGUUAAAGAUUUAUCGCUUGAAGAGGAGCUUGCGGCAGAUAGCUUGUUGGUAAGGUAACGGCUUACCAAGGCUACGAUCUGUAUCCGGUCUAAGAGGACGGUCGGACACACUGACACUGAAUAACGGGUCAGACUCCUACGGGAGGCAGCAGUCGGGAAUUUUGGGCAAUGGGGG